GCCCAUAUAGCUCAGAGGUAGAGCACUUCCUUGGUAAGGAAGAGGUCGGAAGUUCAAGUCUUCUUAUGGGCUCCA
This 75-nucleotide transfer RNA is filed under the name Aliarcobacter butzleri. RNAcentral describes it as "tRNA-Thr". It matches the Rfam family "tRNA". From Rfam's summary of the family: Transfer RNA (tRNA) molecules are approximately 80 nucleotides in length. RNAcentral also lists the same sequence under 4 other names. The record is from RNAcentral. Lineage: Bacteria; Pseudomonadati; Campylobacterota; Epsilonproteobacteria; Campylobacterales; Arcobacteraceae.